Molecule: ribosomal RNA, 441 nt
Filed under: uncultured bacterium
Lineage: Bacteria
Description: bacterial SSU rRNA
Rfam family: Bacterial small subunit ribosomal RNA
Source: RNAcentral
AACGCGAAGAACCUUACCUGGCCUUGGCAUGCAUCUCUAAACCGGUGAAAGCCGGCGAGUGUCGAAAGACACAAUUUGCGCAGGUGCUGCAUGGCUGUCGUCAGCUCGUGUCGUGAGAUGUUGGGUUAAGUCCCGCAACGAGCGCAGCCCCUGUGAACCGUUGCCACUCCCUUUAUUGGGAAGCACUCUGUUCAGACUGCCCUGUGAAACGGGGAGGAAGGUGGGGACGACGUCAAGUCAGUAUGGCCCUUACGGCCAGGGCUGCACACGUACUACAAUGCCCAGUACAGAACGAUCCGAGACCGCGAGGUGGAGGAAAUCUAGUAAAACUGGGCCCAGUUCGGAUUGGAGGCUGCAACUCGCCUCCAUGAAGCCGGAAUCGCUAGUAAUGCCGUAUCAGCUACGACGGCGUGAAUACGUUCCCGGGCCUUGUACACACCG